Phyllopteryx taeniolatus (common seadragon) is the source of this 2149-nucleotide long non-coding RNA. RefSeq lists it as uncharacterized. The record is from RefSeq and is a predicted model, not a curated record. NCBI's taxonomy places the organism in Eukaryota, Metazoa, Chordata, Actinopteri, Syngnathiformes, Syngnathidae. The transcript is spliced from 4 exons.
CACUGUCAAUGUCUACCGCACGGACAUUUGUUGCAGACGGACGCACUGUUCGACCAUUGAAAAACCUUGCCAAAAACGACAAACGAGCGUCGCAGUAAGUCUUGCCAAUGGACCAGCAGGUGGCAGUAGUGAACACUGAGCUCACUCAAACCCACAGUGGAGCUGGCUCCAGCUGCAUGAAAAAUGAGCUCCAACACUAAUAAAGAGAGAAGCGGUUUCAACUUUUAACCCCUCUGGUGUGUCCAAUAAUUAAGACGGUUGCUAUUCAAUUAUGUGAUUCUCAAAGUGCGACCAUCAUAAUUCAUCCGCUGUUUCCCUUGAACUGAACUCCUGAACCUGUCAGCAAAUCCCCCACCUCCGUGUCCUCUGUGUUUCCACACUUGGACCAGUAGUUCUCCAGAUGUACCCAUGAGGCACCAGGAGAGGAAGCGCACCAGCCCCACCGUAAUGACAAGGAAGCGCGCGUGGGUGCGACAAGCGCUGCGGUGUGGCAGGGCGCAUAUUUCGCCGCGUUUUUACGACCCCGCAGUAGCCCUUGACGGUGAUGGCGUCGGCAGCUUCAUUUACUCGCAACAGAGUCCCUCCAAUGUGUUAUGGGAAAUGUUCACUCUGCUUUUAUGUGGCAAGACGUUCAAGUGGGGCCGAAAACCUUCUGUAAAGUCAUAUUGAUCGCUUUAGUCUUUCAACCCUCCAUGAAAAAAAUUAUUAGUUUUUAAAGAUUGAUUGAAGUUUGCAGUAAAAACAAAGUUUUUGUCAUAUAACACUGUAUGACCUGACUGUAGAACAUUAUUAAAUGAUCUUUUGAAAAAUCAUGUCUAUCUGGCUCCAUUUUACACCUCUAAUUGAAUUUUAAUUAUUUUAAAAUUUGUCAUGGGUGGGACCGAAGACGCUGUCAAUGGUUUGCACAUGCAGCCUCGUAGGGUCACACAGCAGCCUUGUGCAAAAGGAGACUAUUGUAUUAUUAUAAUUUCUUGGCUGGAUUAUUUAACUCCGGUUAGCAGCAAAAGUUAAAAAGAAGGAUUUGGACAGUUCUUGAGACAAAUCAAGGUAACUAUAACAGUGGUUUCCUAUAAGCGAAUGGGAUGGGGCCAGAGAGGGGUGAUUUUUCAAAAGAUCAUUUUAAUAGUAUUCUACUGUCAGGUCAUACAUACAAACAUUUUUAACAAAGUGUUGUUGUUGUUGUUUUUUGAACUGCAAACUUCACCUUUAAUAGAAAAAUGAUUGUUGAUUUAUAUUAUCAAUGUGGAAAGCGUUUGAGGAACCCUUUAUCAAAUGUGUUUUCCAUGGCAGGCCACGUUGACAGCCUUACAAAUGUAUAUAGAAGUGGGAGCAAAAAAUGCCCCUGACCCCGAAACUUUAGUUCAUUUCAAGUUAAGACAGGACAACUUGACCACACAUUAGGCAAAUGUAAAAGUAGGUUUGUGAAACAACACGUAAUAGGCCACUUAUGUUUUGAGGCAUAAUCUCACAGCCAAGGCCGAGUGAUGCCACUUGAGAGAAUCUGUACAUUUCACACAGCACACGUAAUUUCUGAUAAACUGCCACAGUAUGACUUGUACACAAAGCACACACUGUCUGAUUUCUCCAUCUGGAGGCUUCCGCAAACCCGACAACAAUAAACUUUUAUGGAGGAACGGGGAUAACUUCUGGACGCUGUGAUUUCUUUUUCUUGGGUGGGCUGGUGGCCUCAAGUCAGUGACGAGCAUCGCGAUGCACAGCUGCAGCUCACGGUGGACCACGAACAAAGAUCUCAUUGGCUGCUUUGGCAGUGUUGAGCCACUUCCUGUUGCCAGAACUCCUAAUUGGAAUGCUGGGUUAGAUAGUUUUUUACGUUUACUACAUAAAAAUAUUGGGUGCAAAAGUUGAAACCUCCAUGGAUGGACAAUGCUGUGUUUAAAGCUGUCCAUGUCUUUUUACCCACAUGUUAAGGUCACUAAUAACAUUUUCUUUGGAAAACUUGGGCCAGAGUAAAGAUUUUCUCAGAAGUCUCAGGUUUCAGCGUUCGUACGUUGAUGGGAAAACUGAUUUGGUGCUUUGUUAACCUGAUGUUGAAAUACAGUACGAUGCUCACCCUGGGGACGUGCCAUCUACUGUAUAAAGUGACGUACAGACAGGUGGCGUCAUGAUUGGCCAUAGGAAAUAAAGCAAA